Molecule: small nuclear RNA, 107 nt
Organism: Cebus imitator (Panamanian white-faced capuchin)
Lineage: Eukaryota; Metazoa; Chordata; Mammalia; Primates; Cebidae
Source: RefSeq, a predicted model, not a curated record
GUGCUCGCUUCGGCAACACAUAUGCUAAAAUUGGAAUAACACAGAGAAGAUUAGCAUGGCCCCUGCAAAACCAUGACACACAAAUUCAUUAAACGUUCCAUAUUAAA